This is a non-coding RNA of Vigna umbellata (rice bean), 982 nucleotides long. The record is from RefSeq and is a predicted model, not a curated record. Lineage: Eukaryota; Viridiplantae; Streptophyta; Magnoliopsida; Fabales; Fabaceae.
AAACAUUCAUCGUAUUUUGUAGAAACUAUGGAUUGGAAUGAAUCUGUAACUUUAUAUCCUAAUAUUGUCAUGCAUGCCCAAAAGUCAAAAUGUAUGAAUUAUUAUUUAUACUCACAUAGACAAUUGUAUUCAGUGAUGGCUAAUUUAGAUGAGGAAUCUUUAGGAUUUCUGAGUUUUGAAAAAAAAAAGGAAAUUUUUAUAAAUCAAGUUAGUGAUGGACUAAGCUUAAUUGUGGUGAAAUUUAUUCUGUAAGUACUCUCUUUAGUUGUCAAGUUGGAGUGGCAAAUGGUAGUUUUCGUUAUAAUAUAUUUUAAAACAUGGAUAAUUUUGAUUUUUAGAGAUGGGUUGUAUCUCGAAUCUUGAGAAAAGUAGCCUUAAUGUCGUGUCUUGAUUAAAAGUAUGUGAUAAUUAUUAAUGAAUGUCUUUUUAACUUAUCAGAAUGCAGAUCUUACCAAUGCCAAUCUAGAGGGAGCCGUUUUGGAAGGAGCUAACUUGAAGGGGGCAAAACUGAACAACGCCAACUUGAAGGGUGCAAACCUUCAACGAGCUUAUCUUAGUCAUCUUAAUCUUCGAUAUACGCACUUGGAAGGUGCGAGGCUUGAUGGUGCCAAUACUGUUGGAGUAAUCAGAUAAUAUUUGUGCCGGAAAUUAAAAAAAUUGGAAUUUGUAAUAUGGCUAUAAAAUGUCAGUACUAGAUGACUGAACUUGGGAAUUUGAAAGUUAUCUCGUGUAUGAGAGCGUAAGUAUAAGUGCUUCUGGUAAAGUGAUAUUUUAGUUGGGUCUGCUGAUCUCCAACAAUAACAUGCGGCUGAUAUUGUGAGAUAAAGUUGUUUAUGUUGUUCUUGUUCAUAUUUUGUGUUGAUUCUGGUUUUUUGGCUUUUCUUAUGUACCAAGAAUAUUACUAAUUUGUUAUGUGAACUAUGUUGUGUACAGCGCAUGGCUGAUAAGAAGUUCGUAUUUAUGAAUCAUGAUUGUCUUGUAU